GGAUUGAAUAUGUUGUUAGUUUUGAAGUUUAUAUAAUUAUAUUAGAAAACCAAUUUAAUUAAGAUAAUAAGAGUAGUAAUGGUUAUUGAAAGUUUGAAUUAUAACGAUAGAGAAGGAGUACUGAAAGGGAAAAAUAGAAGUAAAGGAAUUAAAAAUUAUUAUAGUAGAUGUUAAGGAUUGUACCUUGUGUAUCAGGGAAAAUUUAAAUUUAUUAAAUAUAUUAAUUAUCCCGAAAUAGAAAUAGCUAAUUAUAUAAGAAGUUUUUUGUGACAUAAAGGUUUUGAAUAUAUAAUUAAAGAUGAAAUAUCAUACGAGUUUUAUGUUAUCUGGUUUUCUAAAAAUAAAUAUAAUUUAGGAUUUAGGAAGGAAAUAAUUCUAAGUUCUAAGAGCAGGAGGGCUUAGCUUCUUGUUCAAAGUAGUAUAGAUAAUAGUUGAGUAAAGUAUUUAAAGGUUUAUCCUAGGCUUAAAAGUAGCCAUGGGACGAGGGUGUUUUAACUAAAAAUGAUCCUAAAAAUUAUUUACAUAAAGCUUUAAAUGGUAUUAGAAUAUAAGUUGAAAUUUUAACAAUUAAGUUAUAAUGAUUUUAUUAGUAUAGUUAAUGUUACAUAAUGAAUUGGAAUUUUUUAUUUGAUUUUAAAGUAGUAUAGUUACAUUAAAGGAAUUCGGCAAAUAUUAUUCCUUGCCUGUUUAUCAAAAACAUGUCUAUUUGGAGAUAUAAAUAGUCUAACCUGCUCACUGACAAAGUAAUAUUGUUAAAGAGCCGCGGUAUCCUGACCGUGCAAAGGUAGCAUAAUAAUUAGUUUUUUAAUUGGAAACUUGUAUGAAGGGUUGGACAAAGGAAAAGCUGUCUUUAUAGUAUAAAUUGAAGUUAACCUUUAAGUGAAAAGGCUUAAAUAUUCCAAGGGGACGAUAAGACCCUAUAAAACUUUAUAUAUUAAUUAGAUUUAAUUUGAAUAAAGAAUAAAGAUUCAAUUUGAUUGUUGUAUUUUGUUGGGGCGAUAUAGGUAUAAUUUAUAUUAACUGCUUAGAUUUUAUACAUUAUAUAAAUGAAUUAGAGAAUUAAGUGAUCCUUUUUAGAGAUUAAAAGACUAAGUUACUUUAGGGAUAACAGCGUAAUUUUUUUUGAGAGUUCAUAUCGAAAAAAAAGUUUGCGACCUCGAUGUUGAAUUAAAAUAUCUAUAUAAUGCAGCAGUUAUAUAAGAAGGUCUGUUCGACCUUUAAAUUUUUACAUGAUUUGAGUUCAGACCGGCGUGAGCCAGGUCGGUUUCUAUCUCUUGGAAAAAAAAUACUGCUUUAGUACGAAAGGAUUAAGUAGUAGAAAGUUUUUUAAUUGAAGAAAGAA
RNAcentral lists this ribosomal RNA (1342 nucleotides) under Segonzacia mesatlantica. RNAcentral describes it as "16S ribosomal RNA". The stretch from base 588 to 1342 matches the Rfam family "Archaeal large subunit ribosomal RNA", at positions 1423 to 2846 of the family's 2987-position model. Lineage: Eukaryota; Metazoa; Arthropoda; Malacostraca; Decapoda; Bythograeidae. The record is from RNAcentral.